GAACUACUGAAGAGUCCCAAAAUAGUACGAAACGGUCGUCCAGUUC
Molecule: non-coding RNA, 46 nt
Organism: Schistosoma mattheei
Lineage: Eukaryota; Metazoa; Platyhelminthes; Trematoda; Strigeidida; Schistosomatidae
Source: Rfam